GUCUUGAUAGUUUAAUCCAAAAACAAUGAUUUUGUAAAUCAUUAAUGUUAAUUUCAACUUAGGACU
Molecule: transfer RNA, 66 nt
Filed under: Tanystylum sp. JZ-2022
Lineage: Eukaryota; Metazoa; Arthropoda; Pycnogonida; Pantopoda; Tanystylidae
Description: tRNA-Thr
Rfam family: tRNA
About the family: Transfer RNA (tRNA) molecules are approximately 80 nucleotides in length. Their secondary structure includes four short double-helical elements and three loops (D, anti-codon, and T loops).
Source: RNAcentral